AAACCUACACUUGUUAACUUGUCCAUUUUUUUUGUUUCUCAACCUUUUUUUCAACUGUAAUCAAACCAUCAUUAUAAUUUAUUUAUGCAUGUUAAUUAAUUACCAGUUGAAAUUGUGAACAAACAAGGUUACUCAACCAUAUAAAUUGUUAACUAUUAAAUUGUGUGUGAAUAUUAAUACAUCUGCAAUUGAAAGAAAUGCCCUUUUCUGUUUCAUCUUUGUUUUCAACAUUUUAAUAAAGUCAACAAAUUGUUAAUUGUUAUAGUCACGAAGGUUUAAAAUUUUAUUAUGAUCAAUCUCGCAAAUUACUUUAUUGUAAUCUACAUUUGAUCAUAAAAAGACUUGUCCAAAUCUUUUUUAUAUCACAAAACCUGUAAAGUCUAUCUUUUAAGGCCUAUGGUACUCAGGCCCUAUCAGCCUGGUUUAGUGGGUUAACUCAUUCACCUACAGGAUACCAGAUGGAAAAGAAUCAAGGAAAGAAGUAAAUUGAAAGGAAACGUUGAAUGAGCCCAAUUUUGCUAAUUCAUUGGUUAAAAGGUGAACACAUAAAUCUGCCUGAAGCCUUUGGAAUGUGAUAUUUGAUUUCAAUGUUUAUUGAUAGUCCACUUUUAAUUUGACUUAAACCAAGUGACCACUAAAGAAGCAGGAAAUCACAAGGAUCAAAAUAAUGGAAUGGAAAGGAAAAAAGAUGUUGAAUGUCUUUUCAUUUUUUAUCCCAUGGAAGUAAACUUGACCAGCAACAGCAAAAACCCAUUCCUAAAACAUGAACAUCAAUCUAUUGAACCUCGACCAUUGAUCUUUUGUUAAGAUCAGAGAGUCAAUAAUUUUUCUUGCCAGUCUUUUCAUCUUCUUGUGCUUUCUGUUUCUUAUCCUUUUCCUCUUCCAUUGUCUCCUUAUUUUUUUUCAUCUUUCACCUUCUUCCUCAAACUUCAACUAUUUUAUCCAGGUUGGAUAAUUUAAUUUGAUGAUAAUGAUGAUAAACAUAACAACAUCGAUCAAUGAUCAACGUUAAGAUGAAAGGAUACAUAAAACAAGAAUACAGGAAAUUUAAUUGAUUAAUGUUGACUGAAUGCUCUCAGUUAACAAUUAUUGUUGGUGCGAGAAAAAAAAUACAACAAUUAAUUGAAAAAAGUCAACACAACCAUGAAUCAAUUAAGAUUAUUAUCAUUUCCUGGAAUCAUUCCUAGGCUUGGCAAUCCAGCUCAAGUAACCUGCUGAUCUCAAGCUCUACUCACCCAAAAACCUUGAAGAAUCAUGAAGUAAAGUUGGAAAUAAAAUCUGAGAUUCGGGAGAGAAAAAAAAUCACCAUUUCAACAAUAAACUGCCAAUGUUAACUCAA
Molecule: long non-coding RNA, 1339 nt
Organism: Tetranychus urticae (two-spotted spider mite)
Lineage: Eukaryota; Metazoa; Arthropoda; Arachnida; Trombidiformes; Tetranychidae
Source: RefSeq, a predicted model, not a curated record